UGGGGAAUUUUGGACAAUGGGCGAAAGCCUGAUCCAGCAAUGCCGCGUGUGUGAAGAAGGCCUUCGGGUUGUAGAGCACUUUUGUCCGGAAAGAAAUCCUUGGCUCUAAUACAGUCGGGGGAUGACGGUACCGGAAGAAUAAGCACCGGCUAACUACGUGCCAGCAGCCGCGGUAAUACGUAGGGUGCAAGCGUUAAUCGGAAUUACUGGGCGUAAAGCGUGCGCAGGCGGUUUGCUAAGACCGAUGUGAAAUCCCCGGGCUCAACCUGGGAACUGCAUUGGUGACUGGCAGGCUAGAGUAUGGCAGAGGGGGGUAGAAUUCCACGUGUAGCAGUGAAAUGCGUAGAGAUGUGGAGGAAUACCGAUGGCGAAGGCAGCCCCCUGGGCCAAUACUGACGCUCAUGCACGAAAGCGUGGGGAGCAAACAGGAUUAGAUACCCUGGUAGUCCACGCCCUAAACGAUGUCAACUAGUUGUUGGGGAUUCAUUCCCUUAGUAACGUAGCUAACGCGUGAAGUUGACCGCCUGGGGAGUACGGUCGCAAGAUUAAAACUUAAAUGAAUUGACGGGGUCAUAGCUGUUUCCU
RNAcentral lists this ribosomal RNA (585 nucleotides) under uncultured bacterium. RNAcentral's name for it is "partial 16S ribosomal RNA". It matches the Rfam family "Bacterial small subunit ribosomal RNA", at positions 355 to 1375 of the family's 1533-position model. The record is from RNAcentral.